GACGAACGCUGGCGGCAUGCUUAACACAUGCAAGUCGAACGGAAACGCCCUGCUUUCGUGGGGUGCUCGAGUGGCGAACGGGUGCGUAACACGAGCGUAAACUGACCUUGCCCUUGGGCUCACUUCAAGAAGGUGAGGCUAAUACCGGUUCGGAGCUCCUUCUGCUUGGUGGGGGUGGGAAAGUCUCGGCGGUUGGGGAUGGACUUGCGGCUUAUCUGCUUGUUGGUGGGGUAGUGGCUUACCAAGGAUUUGACGGGUAGCCGGCCUGAGAGGGUGACCGGCCAAAUGGGGACUGAGCUACGGGCGGGAGUAGUACGGGAGACUGCAGUAUGGAAGAUUGCCUGAUGGGCGGAAGCAUGAUGCAGCAACGCCGCGUGCUGGAUUAUGGCCUGCGGUUUGUAGGCCGCUUUCGCCUGUGACUAUGCGUGAGUGACGGUAAUGGGUAAAUAAGGACCGGCUAACUACGUG
Molecule: ribosomal RNA, 468 nt
Filed under: uncultured bacterium
Lineage: Bacteria
Description: partial 16S ribosomal RNA
Rfam family: Bacterial small subunit ribosomal RNA
Source: RNAcentral